RNAcentral lists this long non-coding RNA (548 nucleotides) under Parus major (Great Tit). RNAcentral's name for it is "lncRNA (ENSPMJG00000009660.1)". Lineage: Eukaryota; Metazoa; Chordata; Aves; Passeriformes; Paridae. The record is from RNAcentral.
AUGUGGACAGUUGAACACUUCACAUUUAACAUGUCAAGGGUCAUGAUAAUAGCUUUUGAUGUAUAUAAAAAUGCACCAGGAGGGGAAGAGACUUCCCAUCCAGCCAGACUUCCCAACCUGUGUUUUUAUUUCAGGUUUUUACUGUUUGUGGAAGCUGACCCAGAUCUUUCCUCCCUACUUGUGGAAAAGGAGUUUUACAGGAGAGAAAUGAAGAUGACUACAAAGAAAAGUCUUCCUCUGAGCUUUGGGAUUUUUUGCAGUUGGGUCUCAGGUCUGGCAGAUGGCCCAAGUGGGAGUGAUGAGGAAGGUGAAGUGAUGCAGCCUCAGACUCUGGUCCCCACCAAAAGAUGCAGCUCCCAAGGCUCCAGUUUGACCAGGGAACACACAGAUCUGCAGGAGCACUGUCUGCUGAGAAACACGGCCCCAAAGGAGCCCUGUGGCUGUCCUGGCCUCUUGGCAGCACAGAUGGGCAUCUCCAGCAGCCUGAAUUCCAGCUCCUGGCUCUGCUAUCCCAGUGACAGCAGCACAUUUGCAUAAGGAGCCACUGG